Brassica napus (rape) is the source of this 1904-nucleotide RNA transcript. RefSeq lists it as uncharacterized. Lineage: Eukaryota; Viridiplantae; Streptophyta; Magnoliopsida; Brassicales; Brassicaceae. The transcript has 5 exons. The record is from RefSeq and is a predicted model, not a curated record.
UAGAGAGAUGGGUAGAGACGCAUCGACACUCUGGAACCCUAAUCUCUUCUCUCUCGCGCAAGACCGACGAUCUCCUUUUGAGCCCUUUCAUCUUCUUCCGUUAGUCGUUCACGUUUUGUCAUUCAAUCCACCAUCAAACCUUAGGCUGAGACGAUGAAUAUCUUCUGCCUCUCCUAUCUUUGUCGUUUCCGCUACUCCAUACCUGUGUCUUUAUAAAUUAAACAUUUUAAAGCCUCUUAUGCUCUUUGACAAAAAAAAAGGUCUCUUAAGCUCCCACGAACAGGUCCUGUAACACUACCGUCGAAACUUUGUGUUCUCAGAUUUUGCAAGGUCGGGAAUCGGGAUGUGAUAAGAAAUGGCAAGCUUAUGGGGUCGGUCUACUUCUUCUUGACGCUAAGCUUAUGCAGGCCCAGAUUGCAAAUCUUUAACGAGUCAUAUGAUUAUGAACUGACGUGAUCAAAUCAGAAGCCAAUAUAAUCCCAUGAGAUCUUCCCGUAAGGGUCAAUACCUAUGGCCCAAAUUGCAAAUUUUUAAAAGAAAGUUGUUCAAGUAGAUGUCAAAGGUCUUGGCGCCACCACAUCCAUUGGUCAAACACUGGAUCUUUGUCAUGAGAAACGACCAACCUCCUACAGCUAUUUCAGGAAUGCAAUAGCUGAAAUAGGGAGACUAUUGAUGUUCGAAGCAUCUCGAGAGUGUCUGGUACGUCCUGUUUGAUACAUCUCUCUUUUAUUAUGUUUGCUUAUUUUUCUUGAUUUUACACUCUGUCAUGGUGAUAAAGCCAAUGGUUGUUGGAGAAAUCAUGACUCCAGUGGGUGCUGCUUCGGUUGAAUUAAUUGAGCGAAUUAGUUUUGGUUCUGUUUUGCAAGCGUGUCUAAUGCCGUAAAGCAUAUUAAAGUGGUGUUUGUUAGUUUAAAACGUUUGUUUUGUUUAAUCUGCUCAUAUACAUAAUUGUAUAUUUUAUUGUAGCUGUGUUCAUUCAGUAGCAAGUGUUUCUCAACACAGAUCUAUAUGUGUCAAAGGUAAUCUGGUAAUGAAAGGAAAUCUAUUUUUGAGAUACGUUCCUCAUAGUUUAGCCAACUCACUUGAUAAGGUAUAAGUAUUUGGCGUAGUUGCUUUAUAUGUUCAAAUUUCUCAUUCUCUCUGUAUUAUUAUACGCUUGAGUUUCACUGAAGGCUUUUGAAUAUCACUGAUUCUCCUAUACGAGUAAAUAAGCUUUGGUUGUUUGAAUAUGAGUGCCCAUUAAAAUUUUAAUUAAUUGUAACACAGAUGUUUUAUAUUGAAAUACUUACCAUUAUCUGUUUCUUCGGUGAAACAAAAGAUUCUAACCAUUAUCUGUUUGAAGGAAUGGUUUCCAGAGGUAGGACUUUCUAUGCAACAAUUUUGACGAGCAAGCAACAGUUCCACUGGAGAAGAAGAAAUAGGAGUCUCGAGCACACACGGCUCAGAUUCACGCUGAUGUCUUUGUAGCUGGUGUGGAUGCAUCUGUUAGCUGUCGCAGGAGCAACCGUUGUGUCUUCCAGCUUUGGGAAGGACGAGAAAAUGCCUAAGUCAGAAGUAGCAGUUGCCACGACCCUUGCGGAUGCUCUGUAUAUGAAGGAUGAUGAAGUGAUUGCAGCUAAGCGAGAGCAUUUGGCCUUACGAAGAAGAGAUUCACAGUCAAUGAGACAAUGAAGAAACCUUCAAGAAUGAAGAUUGUAGACAAUAAGAAGAGCGGGAGAGUAACUUAUCAGAAACUCAAAAAGCGUUGUUGAAUGAUUUGAUACCAAUCUUGACAACUAGGACAUCAGUGACCUGUACAAUACUUGGAUCUGUAGCUAUUGUAGGUAUGAUUCUUUAUUUUUCCCAUCAAAAGUUCUGAUUUUGUAUCUUACCUUUUGUCUAAUGAUCAAUUUUUUUUAAUACAA